UGGCUGUCGUCAGCUCGUGUCGUGAGAUGUUGGGUUAAGUCCUCUAACGAGCGCAACCCUUGCCGUCAGUUGCUAUUUGCGUAAGCAAAGCACUCUGAUGGAACUGCCUGGGAAACCAGGAGGAAGGUGGGGAUGACAACAAGUCCUCAUGGCCUUUAUGCCUAGGGCUACACACGUGUUACAAUGGCUAGUACAAAGGGUUGCAAACUCGCAACUGUAAGCUAAUCCCAUAAAGCUAAUCUAAGUUCAGAUUGAGGUCUGCAACUCGACCUCAUGAAGUUGAAAUCGCUAGUAAUCGCA
This 300-nucleotide ribosomal RNA is filed under the name uncultured bacterium. RNAcentral's name for it is "bacterial SSU rRNA". It matches the Rfam family "Bacterial small subunit ribosomal RNA", at positions 1046 to 1346 of the family's 1533-position model. The record is from RNAcentral.